GGUGUUAUAGCAUAGAGGUUAUGCGGGGUACUGUUAAUACCCACCACAGGGGUUCGAAUCCUCUUAACACCU
Molecule: non-coding RNA, 72 nt
Organism: Tulasnella sp. 417
Lineage: Eukaryota; Fungi; Basidiomycota; Agaricomycetes; Cantharellales; Tulasnellaceae
Source: the annotation of a GenBank genome assembly